AGUGCUUUAAGUUAAACUAAACUGUUUGCCUUCAAAGCAAAAAAUAGUGAAAAUCACUAAGCUCUG
RNAcentral lists this transfer RNA (66 nucleotides) under Polydora cf. ciliata DS-2023. RNAcentral describes it as "tRNA-Trp". The record is from RNAcentral. Lineage: Eukaryota; Metazoa; Annelida; Polychaeta; Spionida; Spionidae.